This 454-nucleotide ribosomal RNA is filed under the name uncultured bacterium. RNAcentral describes it as "partial 16S ribosomal RNA". It matches the Rfam family "Bacterial small subunit ribosomal RNA", at positions 28 to 507 of the family's 1533-position model. The record is from RNAcentral.
GAUGAACGCUGACAGAAUGCUUAACACAUGCAAGUCUACUUGAACUUCGGUUUGGGUGGCGGACGGGUGAGUAACGCGUAAAGAACUUGCCUCACAGAUAGGGACAACAUUUGGAAACGAAUGCUAAUACCUGAUAUUAUGAUUUUAGGGCAUCCUAGAAUUAUGAAAGCUAUAUGCACUGUGAGAGAGCUUUGCGUCCCAUUAGCUAGUUGGAGAGGUAACGGCUCACCAAGGCGAUGAUGGGUAGCCGGCCUGAGAGGGUGAUCGGCCGCAAGGGGACUGAGACACGGCCCUUACUCCUACGGGAGGCAGCAGUGGGGAAUAUUGGACAAUGGACCAAGAGUCUGAUCCAGCAAUUCUGUGUGCACGAUGAAGUUUUUCGGAAUGUAAAGUGCUUUCAGUUGGGAAGAAAAAAAUGACGGUACCAACAGAAGAAGUGACGGCUAAAUACGUG